UAUGCUGGAGGUAUCAGAAGUGCGAAUGCUGACAUAAGUAACGAUAAAGCGGGUGAAAAGCCCGCUCGCCGGAAGACCAAGGGUUCCUGUCCAACGUUAAUCGGGGCAGGGUGAGUCGACCCCUAAGGCGAGGCCGAAAGGCGUAGUCGAUGGGAAACAGGUUAAUAUUCCUGUACUUGGUGUUACUGCGAAGGGGGGACGGAGAAGGCUAUGUUGGCCGGGCGACGGUUGUCCCGGUUUAAGCGUGUAGGCUGGUUUUCCAGGCAAAUCCGGAAAAUCAAGGCUGAGGCGUGAUGACGAGGCACUACGGUGCUGAAGCAACAAAUGCCCUGCUUCCAGGAAAAGCCUCUAAGCAUCAGGUAACAUCAAAUCGUACCCCAAACCGACACAGGUGGUCAGGUAGAGAAUACCAAGGCGCUUGAGAGAACUCGGGUGAAGGAACUAGGCAAAAUGGUGCCGUAACUUCGGGAGAAGGCACGCUGAUAUGUAGGUGAAGUCCCUCGCGGAUGGAGCUGAAAUCAGUCGAAGAUACCAGCUGGCUGCAACUGUUUAUUAAAAACACAGCACUGUGCAAACACGAAAGUGGACGUAUACGGUGUGACGCCUGCCCGGUGCCGGAAGGUUAAUUGAUGGGGUCAGCGCAAGCGAAGCUCUUGAUCGAAGCCCCGGUAAACGGCGGCCGUAACUAUAACGGUCCUAAGGUAGCGAAAUUCCUUGUCGGGUAAGUUCCGACCUGCACGAAUGGCGUAAUGAUGGCCAGGCUGUCUCCACCCGAGACUCAGUGAAAUUGAACUCGCUGUGAAGAUGCAGUGUACCCGCGGCAAGACGGAAAGACCCCGUGAACCUUUACUAUAGCUUGACACUGAACAUUGAGCCUUGAUGUGUAGGAUAGGUGGGAGGCUUGGAAGUGUGGACGCCAGUCUGCAUGGAGUCGACCUUGAAAUACCACCCUUUAAUGUUUGAUGUUCUAACGUGGACCCGUAAUCCGGGUUGCGGACAGUGUCUGGUGGGUAGUUUGACUGGGGCGGUCUCCUCCUAAAGAGUAACGGAGGAGCACGAAGGUUGGCUAAUCCUGGUCGGACAUCAGGAGGUUAGUGCAAUGGCAUAAGCCAGCUUGACUGCGAGCGUGACGGCGCGAGCAGGUGCGAAAGCAGGUCAUAGUGAUCCGGUGGUUCUGAAUGGAAGGGCCAUCGCUCAACGGAUAAAAGGUACUCCGGGGAUAACAGGCUGAUACCGCCCAAGAGUUCAUAUCGACGGCGGUGUUUGGCACCUCGAUGUCGGCUCAUCACAUCCUGGGGCUGAAGUAGGUCCCAAGGGUAUGGCUGUUCGCCAUUUAAAGUGGUACGCGAGCUGGGUUUAGAACGUCGUGAGACAGUUCGGUCCCUAUCUGCCGUGGGCGCUGGAGAACUGAGGGGGGCUGCUCCUAGUACGAGAGGACCGGAGUGGACGCAUCACUGGUGUUCGGGUUGUCAUGCCAAUGGCACUGCCCGGUAGCUAAAUGCGGAAGAGAUAAGUGCUGAAA
This 1522-nucleotide ribosomal RNA is filed under the name Escherichia coli. Its description in RNAcentral is "partial 23S ribosomal RNA". It matches the Rfam family "Bacterial large subunit ribosomal RNA", at positions 1269 to 2776 of the family's 2925-position model. The record is from RNAcentral. Lineage: Bacteria; Pseudomonadati; Pseudomonadota; Gammaproteobacteria; Enterobacterales; Enterobacteriaceae.